GCCUAAGUAAUAAAAAAUCAUUGCAAUGGCAAUUUGCAGCUGGCAGAAAAACACCUUGCAUAACAAUAUAUGGAGAGUAAGAAAAAUGAUGUGAUUUAAAUUGAACCACAUACUAUCUAGUUUUCAAGAACUUUGUUCUAGCCUUCCACUCACUAGAAUUUACCCAAAAAAUUUUUAAAAAAUUCCAAAUCCUUACACCUUGCCUAUACCCCUCCCCAGAAUUUACAUUUUAUUGGUGCAUGGGAAUGUCACAACAAUUUAUAAUCCAUGCCAAUGCCUUGCUAAUCAGACGUUUGAUCAAUUUGUUUUGCAAAAUUCAAAUUCCUGUUUUUAAAUGACACCCCUUUUAUGUACAAAUGCAUAAAAAAUUAUAGAGAGUAAAUUGGAAACUAGUUGUGUGCAGUAAAUAAAAAUUUGUUAUUAUCCACCUUUCAGCUUUGCUGUGAAAAAGAUAUUCAAUUCAGUACAUAAUGGCGCCAUAUGAAGCAGAUGCACAGAUCCUGGUUUUGCCAGGGCUCCUCGUCCCCAGGCGCUUUGAUUUGAGGCUGCGGUUUUGCAGUGUCUGAAGAUUCAGACCUUGUUGUAUAGAGCGUUUGCACUCAUUCCCCACGGGCCAACUCAACAAAAGCCAUGGCGGCCAUGUUGGUGUUCCAGACAAGAGUCUAAUCAAAAUUAUUUUGAAUUGGAACACCAACAUGGUGGCUGUGACGUCAUGUGCAAAUGCUCUAUAUCAGUGUGAAAAGGUACAGCAUGUAUAACAAUAAUUAAAAUGGGAUGUUUUUGUUUGCAUUUCAAUGAUGAUGGUGGUCAUGUAUAAACUUAGUAAAACAUUGUUCAAUGAAGUGUUAUAAAAUAUAUGAAUAACAAAUUUGCACAAGUGUAGUGGGUUUACAGUGUUUUAACAGUUUUUCUACAUAACUCACAGCAGCAUUCUUACAACUUCCAUCCAUGCCAGCCCAGUUUGUGUUUAUAGGGAGAAAGUUUUUUCAGAUUGGGAACCAGGUCAGCCUGGCUGUUCAAAUGUAUAAUUAUGCAAAGUAGUAAUAAUUAAUACACUGUGUGCAACUAUUGACAUGGGUGUCCUGCUUUUAAUGGGAUGGCCUGGGUGGGGUAAAAUUUACACAGAACUAUUAUUUUCAACAUUGACUUGGUGAAUGCCUGGGUAUAAUGCUGUACACUAUUUGUGUGAGACACUAUCUGUAUUAUGCCUGUACAUGUAUCUGUGUUAUAUUUACAUCCGUAGUAAGGCAUUCUGCAGCAAUGUGGACUACAGUAUGCAUGUCAUGUUUCAGGUGCUAUUUAAAGCUACAAACAAAUGGUAUGGGUAACUUGGUGGAAAUGGAAAAAAAAUUAACACAUCUAAAAUUAACCAAGGAAACGUUUACUGAGUCAUUGCCAGUUGCUCCAACUGACUAUAAUACAAGAAACAGUUCCAACAAGCACAAAUGGUUUUUCACCACCAGACAGUCAUUGAUCCUGUCAAAUAUGAAACAGUCCCAUUAUUAAAGUCUGUUCUUCGCCUCUUCGGUUGUCCAACAGUCUGCCAUUGGUCUUGCUCAUUUUGACAUACAUUAUUUUUUCCAUUUGAAAAUGUUUUUUUGCUUCUCUUUUGCGUUUAUUAUUUCUUUGCCGCUUUGUUUUUUGUUUGCCUGGCGUAUGGGACUCUGGGAUGCACGAACGCUUCCCCAAAAUAGCGGGAGAACAUGAACUCUGGACAAGAAGACCUGAAAUUAGCAAAGGAAAUAUCAUGAUUUAAAAGCCCCAGAAAGAUACAAUAUUGAGGGGCGCCAAGGGGCGCCAUUUAAUAUGGUCACAAAUAAUGAUCAUAGAUUAUGCCAAUUGCAAUUUUAAAUGUGAUGUGUGAACGGUUAACCUGUGACAUGAAAAAGUAAACAGACCAGUGUAUUUGGGAAAAAUACACGAGCUUACAAUCAAAUGAUAUUUUUUAUCGAAUUCCAAAAAUUAUCGAUUUGAAAAGUAACACAGCAUAACAAUAUUACAUGCAACUUCCUUUUUAAGAAAAAACAAAAAGUUUAAACUUUAAAACGUGGCAGAAAAUAGAGCGCCAACAUACCUUUCAUCGUGCUCGAAAUCCGCCAUCUUGAAGAAAAUAUCCAAAAUAAUGCAUUGCGGUCGUAGUGCGAUCACCGCCUGUACCAGUACUAUUAACUAAAUAUCUAACAGUUUUCUGGUUCGCUAUUGUAAAUGAAUAUAAACUAGAGUACGUUUCAAUUCAAAACAGUUCGAAAAAUGCAAAAUUUGGGCAAUAUUUAUUUCUGUGGGUCGCCCUUUGUUAUGAACAGAACUGAUGUGCAAACGAACUUGACAAGGUCUUUAAACUAGUGAUGGGCGAUACCGAGUACUUGGUAUUCGAUACCAGCGAUACCACAAACAGCGGUAUCGGUAUCGAUUACUGACGUGGUAUCGUUCGAUACUUGCACCCUUUUUUAAACGACUUGUUUAAUUUCACUUCUUGGUUGAAUAAGACUUAAUGAACCACUAAAAUAAGUCUUAAUAUUCCAAAUGUGCUGCGCCAAGUCAUGUAUAGAAAAUAUUUAUUACGUUUCAGGCUUUUGGUUUACAUAUAGCUUUAUUUAGGUUACAUACAGUAAUGUAAAAUGUUUUUCCGCUGACCGGCAGGUAUCGAAAGUAGCCGAUACUAGCAAUUUAAGUACUCACUUCCGGUAUCGAAAAUUGAAAUUGUGUGUUCAUUUUGGUAUCGAAAUAGGUAUCGGUAUCGGCCGAUACCGAUCUUAAAAGUAUCGGUAUCGGUAUCGAAUUAAAAAUCCUGGUAUCGCCCAUCACUACUUUAAACAUUAAAAAAAUCCAAAUAUAUAUCAAAAAAUCAAAAAAUCAAAAAAUCAAAAAAUCAAAAAAUCAAAAAAUCAAAAAAUCUAAAAAUCUAAAAAUCUAAAAAUCUAAAAAUCUAAAAAUCUAAAAAUCUAAAAAUCUAAAAAUCUAAAAGUCUAAAAAUCUAAAAAUCUAAAAAUCUAAAAAUCUAAAAAUCUAAAAAUCAAAAAAUCAAAAAAUCUAAAAAUACAAAAACUGUUUUUGUGCUGUCGCGUCUGGGCCGCCGUAAAUAAGGGAGUACAUUUAUUAUGCUGGGGGGGGUGAAGAUGUUAAGGGGGGCAUCGAAAUAUUCUCUGGCAAUCUGGCAUUGAACGGGGGGCUCGAUAUACUGACGGGGGGGGGGGUAGCUGUAAACUUUUCAAAGUUUUGGUCCAGCAGUGGCCUGGAGUGUUCACUCCCACAUAGUUAAUGGAAUAGAUGGUUUGAAAACUCCCCCUACUGUGAAAUUCAGACAAAAAUAUGUAAAAUUCAAGUUAAAAUUUUGACAUUUUCAGGUAAAAUUUGCGUAAUAAAGUAAUUAUUUUUGUGAAAUGAUAACCAUUUUUGUAAAAUACAGUCAAUUUGCAUGAAAUUUGUUUGCGAAUUUGCUUUAAAACACGCCAGAAAUUCAGUCGUAGAAUGUAAACAUUUUCUGGGGGAGGACCCCCAGACCCCUUUUUUCUCCCGAAACUUAAUAUGAGAGUGCCAAUCAAUCACAAAAAGCUUUAUUAUUAUUAUUACAUGUAUAAUCCCCCAACAUCCCCCCCCCCCAAACGUCAGAUGCUUUGCUAGGUCCCUGAUGGUUGUAUUCGAAACCGAUUUCAGUUUCAAGAUAUCCUUAGUCUGCUCUUCUAUAAAUGGAUACAUGAAAUCACCUAUAGCUCACUUAAAUUUUUUUGGCACCAAUCUAAAAUGGUUUUUUUUAAAGGGUGCCAUUUAAUCUGGCGCUAGUGAGGUGAAAGAAGCAGUAGGUCGGUAUUUUAGUUGAGGAGAAGUACAUGCUUGAGUAUAUCAGACAUCUUGAGGAGCUGCAAAUUGUAUAUAUGAUGCCUACGAUAAGAGAGAAUUCCGGAUUGUACUGCUUCAAUUCCGAAUUCUGGAGGGGGGGGGGGCAUUGAAAAUUUUAGAAACUUGGAGGGGGGCAUCGGAAAUUUACCAAUAAUCUCAACAGGGGCCCUGUAAAAUAUGAGCUUUUUUUCAAGACAUAUCCAUCUCCCCCCCCACCCCCCCAACC
Non-coding RNA from Paramuricea clavata, 4063 nucleotides. The record is from the annotation of a GenBank genome assembly. NCBI's taxonomy places the organism in Eukaryota, Metazoa, Cnidaria, Anthozoa, Malacalcyonacea, Plexauridae.